RNAcentral lists this small RNA (1106 nucleotides) under Histoplasma capsulatum var. duboisii H88. RNAcentral's name for it is "Histoplasma capsulatum H88 hypothetical RNA". The record is from RNAcentral. Lineage: Eukaryota; Fungi; Ascomycota; Eurotiomycetes; Onygenales; Ajellomycetaceae.
UCCACAGCUCCACGCGAGCGAUAGAAACGCCCAGUUGAAGAAUCCUAAUCCUAAUAUACACACAUAUUCCCCAAAAUAUGUCACAUCUUCUAACCUCAUAGAAACCUCCCUUUACCCCAACAAUCGCUCAAAUCCCCAAUCGACAAGAACGCGGAAACAAACCAACAAGCAUGGCCGCCGCAAAAUCUGCAGCCUCCAUCGCAACCACCACAGCGAAAAACCUACUCAGGGCCACCGAUCGCAAGCCAAAAAUAACCCGCACUGGCCCCGCAACUGCCUCACCGCCCAUCCAACUCCAACUGCACGACUACUGCUUCUACUAUGACACAGCGCCCCCAACCCAACAACAACUCCAAUACGGCGCGGACCUGUUCAGAGCCUCCAACCACUCGCCCAUACAGAUGUGGACGGCCAGCGAAUUCCGCACGAUCCCCAUGUCCGAUGUGCCUGAGGUGGUAUUCCUAGGUAGAUCGAACGUGGGCAAAUCAUCCCUGCUGAAUGCGAUUAUGGAGAAGGGCCUCUGUUUCACGUCGUCGAAGGUCGGGCGGACAAGGACACUGAAUGCGUACGGGAUCGGGGGCCGCAAAGACGGGGAGGCGAAGGUUGUUCUUGUUGAUACGCCCGGCUACGGUAAGGGGAGCCACGAGGAGUGGGGGGAGGUGAUUAUGAAGUAUUUGACGAAGCGGAGGCAACUUCGCCGCACCUUCGUCCUCCUCGACUCCCACCACGGCAUAAAACCCGCCGACGCGGCCAUCCUCUCCCUCCUCCGAUCCGCGGCCGUCCCGCACCAAGUAAUCCUCUCAAAGGCAGACUCGGUCCUCAUCAAAGGCGGGCUGAAAAAGGGUGCCCGUGGCCUCCGUCCUGAACGCAUAAAGGAGCUUGGCCGCUUCGCUGGCGGGAUCCGCGCAAAGGUGCAGCCCGUCAGGAAUGUGGCUGUUAGUAAUAGCCAAAAGAAGAAGAUAGAGAGGCGGCCGAAUAGGAAUAUUUAUGAUGAUGCUGUGGGUGGCGGUGAUGGUAACAAGCUGCCCGCGGAGCCUGCUGGGAUGGAGCCUGCUGGGAUGGAGCUGGGGAUUCCGGCGCUCGGGGAAAUCUUAGCCUGUUCGACU